GACGAACGCUGGCGGCGUGCUUAACACAUGCAAGUCGAACGGGACGGCCCUGCUUUUGUGGGGUGCUCGAGUGGCGAACGGGUGAGUAACACGUGAGUAACCUGUCCCUGACUGUAGGAUAACUUAAGACCACUGGGGCUCAUACCGGCUAGGAUCUCCUGCUGCAUGGUGGGGGUUGGUAAGUUUCGGCGGUUGGGGAUGGACUCGCGGCGUAUCAGCUUGUUGGUUGGGUAGUGGCUUACCAAGGCUUUGACGGGUAGCCGGCCUGAGAGGGUAACAGGCCACACUAGGACUGAGAUACGGCACAGACUACUACGGGAGGCGGGAGUGGAGAAUAGUGUAUAGUGGGAUGAAGCCUGAUGCAGCAACGCCGCGUGCGGGAUGACGGCAUGCGGGUUGGAAACCGCUGUCGUCUGUGACGAAGCGUGAGUGACGGUAAUGGGUAAAGAAGCACCGGCUAACUACGUG
RNAcentral lists this ribosomal RNA (468 nucleotides) under uncultured bacterium. RNAcentral describes it as "partial 16S ribosomal RNA". It matches the Rfam family "Bacterial small subunit ribosomal RNA", at positions 28 to 507 of the family's 1533-position model. The record is from RNAcentral.